GGAUAACAUUUGGAGCGAUUGCGAUACAGAUUUCUAAUCUGUAGGUCAUAGGUUCGAAUCCUAUUGGGAUCA
RNAcentral lists this transfer RNA (72 nucleotides) under Mucilaginibacter pankratovii. RNAcentral describes it as "Mucilaginibacter sp. ZT4R22 tRNA-Ser". It matches the Rfam family "tRNA". Rfam says of the family: Transfer RNA (tRNA) molecules are approximately 80 nucleotides in length. Their secondary structure includes four short double-helical elements and three loops (D, anti-codon, and T loops). Further hydrogen bonds mediate the characteristic L-shaped molecular structure. tRNAs have two regions of fundamental functional importance: the anti-codon, which is responsible for specific mRNA codon recognition, and the 3' end, to which the tRNAs corresponding amino acid is attached (by aminoacyl-tRNA synthetases). tRNAs cope with the degeneracy of the genetic code in two manners: having more than one tRNA (with a specific anti-codon) for a particular amino acid; and 'wobble' base-pairing, i.e. permitting non-standard base-pairing at the 3rd anti-codon position. The record is from RNAcentral. Lineage: Bacteria; Pseudomonadati; Bacteroidota; Sphingobacteriia; Sphingobacteriales; Sphingobacteriaceae.